AAACCUUCCCUCCGAAAGUUUUAUGUUACCAUUGGCUCAUUGACCCCCUGGAGGUGUGAUCUUGCCAGAAGUUAAAAUAACUGUUUUUUCUCUCUCAUCAUCUUCUGCUGCUCUUCUGCUUCAUCUUCUGGUUGGUGACUACAGCCAUGGAAGAAAAUGCUCCCAACCACCACUGAAUCAGAGUAACGUCUUUGGAGUUCAUCACUCUUCAAACCCAGAAAAACGGGAUUGCAAUUCCAACACCAACAAACCAUCAAGACUUUCAUCUGAGUCUGUGUCCGAUGCUCAUUCAAUGGCCAAGAUAAUCUUUCUACUGAUGAAUACCUGUGGAUGACUACUGUUUGAUUCACCCUGAAGUUUGCCUUGUGCCCCAACAGAUCUUCUGAGGAUGCUAUCUCCCAUAUCCUGCAUGCUAUUCACACCGACAGCAAUAAAGGGAAUUAUGUGAGGAUAUAGCUUAGCCUUCAACACUAUAGGCCCCCACAGAGUGGUCUCUAAGCUCAGGGACCUUGGCCUGAAUGCCC
Molecule: long non-coding RNA, 524 nt
Organism: Cyprinus carpio carpio
Lineage: Eukaryota; Metazoa; Chordata; Actinopteri; Cypriniformes; Cyprinidae
Source: Ensembl